This 72-nucleotide transfer RNA is filed under the name Melampsora larici-populina 98AG31. Its description in RNAcentral is "tRNA-Thr (AGT) (tRNA-Thr-AGT-3-1)". It matches the Rfam family "tRNA". Rfam says of the family: Transfer RNA (tRNA) molecules are approximately 80 nucleotides in length. Their secondary structure includes four short double-helical elements and three loops (D, anti-codon, and T loops). The record is from RNAcentral. Lineage: Eukaryota; Fungi; Basidiomycota; Pucciniomycetes; Pucciniales; Melampsoraceae.
GUGUCUGUAGCCUAGUGGUAAAGGCAGCACUCUAGUACACUGAGGUCAUGGGUUCAAAUCCCAUCAGACACA